GGGUUGUGAGGUUAAGCGACCAAGCGUACACGGUGGAUGCCCUGGCAGUCAGAGGCGAUGAAGGACGUGCUAAUCUGCGAUAAGCGCCGGUAAGGUGAUAUGAACCGUUAUAACCGGCGAUUUCCGAAUGGGGAAACCCAGUGUGAUUCGUCACACUAUCAUUAACUGAAUCCAUAGGUUAAUGAAGCGAACCGGGGGAACUGAAACAUCUAAGUACCCCGAGGAAAAGAAAUCAACCGAGAUUCCCCCAGUAGCGGCGAGCGAACGGGGAGGAGCCCAGAGCCUGAAUCAGCAUGUGUGUUAGUGGAAGCGUCUGGAAAGGCGCGCGAUACAGGGUGACAGCCCCGUACACAAAAGCGCAUGUGCUGUGAGCUCGAUGAGUAGGGCGGGACACGUGGUAUCCUGUCUGAAUAUGGGGGGACCAUCCUCCAAGGCUAAAUACUCCUGACUGACCGAUAGUGAACCAGUACCGUGAGGGAAAGGCGAAAAGAACCCCGGCGAGGGGAGUGAAACAGAACCUGAAACCGUGUACGUACAAGCAGUGGGAGCACAGGUUUACCUGUGUGACUGCGUACCUUUUGUAUAAUGGGUCAGCGACUUAUAUUCUGUAGCAAGGUUAACCGCAUAGGGGAGCCGAAGGGAAACCGAGUCUUAAUUGGGCGUUAAGUUGCAGGGUAUAGACCCGAAACCCGGUGAUCUAGCCAUGGGCAGGUUGAAGGUUGGGUAACACUAACUGGAGGACCGAACCGACUAAUGUUGAAAAAUUAGCGGAUGACCUGUGGCUGGGGGUGAAAGGCCAAUCAAACCGGGAGAUAGCUGGUUCUCCCCGAAAGCUAUUUAGGUAGCGCCUCGUGAACUCAUCUCCGGGGGUAGAGCACUGUUUCGGCUAGGGGGCCAUCCCGGCUUACCAACCCGAUGCAAACUGCGAAUACCGGAGAAUGUUAUCACGGGAGACACACGGCGGGUGCUAACGUCCGUCGUGAAGAGGGAAACAACCCAGACCGCCAGCUAAGGUCCCAAAGUCAUGGUUAAGUGGGAAACGAUGUGGGAAGGCCCAGACAGCCAGGAUGUUGGCUUAGAAGCAGCCAUCAUUUAAAGAAAGCGUAAUAGCUCACUGGUCGAGUCGGCCUGCGCGGAAGAUGUAACGGGGCUAAACCAUGCACCGAAGCUGCGGCAGCGACGCUUAUGCGUUGUUGGGUAGGGGAGCGUUCUGUAAGCCGUUGAAGGUGGCCUGUGAGGGUUGCUGGAGGUAUCAGAAGUGCGAAUGCUGACAUAAGUAACGAUAAAGCGGGUGAAAAGCCCGCUCGCCGGAAGACCAAGGGUUCCUGUCCAACGUUAAUCGGGGCAGGGUGAGUCGACCCCUAAGGCGAGGCCGAAAGGCGUAGUCGAUGGGAAACGGGUUAAUAUUCCCGUACUUGGUGUUACUGCGAAGGGGGGACGGAGAAGGCUAUGUUGGCCGGGCGACGGUUGUCCCGGUUUAAGCGUGUAGGCUGACUUUCCAGGCAAAUCCGGAGAGUCAAGGCUGAGGCGUGACGACGAGGCACCACGGUGCUGAAGCAACAAAUGCCCUGCUUCCAGGAAAAGCCUCUAAGCAUCAGGUAACAUCAAAUCGUACCCCAAACCGACACAGGUGGUCAGGUAGAGAAUACCAAGGCGCUUGAGAGAACUCGGGUGAAGGAACUAGGCAAAAUGGUGCCGUAACUUCGGGAGAAGGCACGCUGACAUGUAGGUGAAGUGGUUUACCCAUGGAGCUGAAGUCAGUCGAAGAUACCAGCUGGCUGCAACUGUUUAUUAAAAACACAGCACUGUGCAAACACGAAAGUGGACGUAUACGGUGUGACGCCUGCCCGGUGCCGGAAGGUUAAUUGAUGGGGUCAGCGCAAGCGAAGCUCCUGAUCGAAGCCCCGGUAAACGGCGGCCGUAACUAUAACGGUCCUAAGGUAGCGAAAUUCCUUGUCGGGUAAGUUCCGACCUGCACGAAUGGCGUAAUGAUGGCCAGGCUGUCUCCACCCGAGACUCAGUGAAAUUGAACUCGCUGUGAAGAUGCAGUGUACCCGCGGCAAGACGGAAAGACCCCGUGAACCUUUACUAUAGCUUGACACUGAACAUUGAGCCUUGAUGUGUAGGAUAGGUGGGAGGCUUUGAAGCGUGGACGCCAGUCUGCGUGGAGCCGGCCUUGAAAUACCACCCUUUAAUGUUUGAUGUUCUAACGUGGACCCGUGAUCCGGGUUGCGGACAGUGUCUGGUGGGUAGUUUGACUGGGGCGGUCUCCUCCUAAAGAGUAACGGAGGAGCACGAAGGUUGGCUAAUCCUGGUCGGACAUCAGGAGGUUAGUGCAAUGGCAUAAGCCAGCUUGACUGCGAGCGUGACGGCGCGAGCAGGUGCGAAAGCAGGUCAUAGUGAUCCGGUGGUUCUGAAUGGAAGGGCCAUCGCUCAACGGAUAAAAGGUACUCCGGGGAUAACAGGCUGAUACCGCCCAAGAGUUCAUAUCGACGGCGGUGUUUGGCACCUCGAUGUCGGCUCAUCACAUCCUGGGGCUGAAGUAGGUCCCAAGGGUAUGGCUGUUCGCCAUUUAAAGUGGUACGCGAGCUGGGUUUAGAACGUCGUGAGACAGUUCGGUCCCUAUCUGCCGUGGGCGCUGGAGAACUGAGGGGGGCUGCUCCUAGUACGAGAGGACCGGAGUGGACGCAUCACUGGUGUUCGGGUUGUCAUGCCAAUGGCACUGCCCGGUAGCUAAAUGCGGAAGAGAUAAGUGCUGAAAGCAUCUAAGCACGAAACUUGCCCCGAGAUGAGUUCUCCCUGAGACUUUGAGUCUCCUGAAGGAACGUUGAAGACGACGACGUUGAUAGGCCGGGUGUGUAAGCGCAGCGAUGCGUUGAGCUAACCGGUACUAAUGAACCGUGAGGCUUAACCUUACAACGCCGAAGCUGUU
This 2932-nucleotide ribosomal RNA is filed under the name Salmonella enterica subsp. enterica. RNAcentral describes it as "bacterial LSU rRNA". It matches the Rfam family "Bacterial large subunit ribosomal RNA". RNAcentral also lists the same sequence under 1 other name. The record is from RNAcentral. Lineage: Bacteria; Pseudomonadati; Pseudomonadota; Gammaproteobacteria; Enterobacterales; Enterobacteriaceae.